GUUUAUACUGUCUAUCAUGAAAAAUUUAUGAUUGUUUAUACAAUUUAUUACGUAGAAUUGGAUACAGAUGCAGAAGAAAGGUUUUCAUUUGAACCCCCCUACUGCAGUGUACAUCAAAUGGUUGCCAAGUGCAUUUUGGACAUGAGCAGCUAUGUCAAACCACCUACCAUCUUUCAUCCCCCAACCAAUUGUCCUUUUCCUUUGGUCCUGUUGGCCCUGCUUCACCA
This 227-nucleotide unclassified non-coding RNA is filed under the name Hevea brasiliensis (rubber tree). The record is from RNAcentral. Lineage: Eukaryota; Viridiplantae; Streptophyta; Magnoliopsida; Malpighiales; Euphorbiaceae.